AUUGAACGCUAGCGGCAUGCCUUACACAUGCAAGUCGAACGGCAGCGGGGGAGCUUGCUCCCGCCGGCGAGUGGCGAACGGGUGAGUAAUACAUCGGAACGUACCCAGUAGCGGGGGAUAGCCCGGCGAAAGCCGGAUUAAUACCGCAUACGCCCUACGGGGGAAAGGGGGGGAUCGCAAGACCUCUCACUAUUGGAGCGGCCGAUGGCUGAUUAGCUAGUUGGUGGGGUAAAGGCCUACCAAGGCGACGCUCAGUAGCUGGGCUGAGAGGACGAGCAGCCACACUGGGACUGAGACACGGGCCAGACGCCGACGGGAGGCAGCAGUGGGGAAUUUUGGACAAUGGGCGAAAGCCUGAUCCAGCAAUGCCGCGUGUGCGAAGAAGGCCUUCGGGUUGUAAAGCACUCUUGUCAGGGAAGAAAUCGUUUGGGUUAAUACCCCGAGCAGUUGACGGUACCUGAAGAAUAAGCACCGGCUAACUCCGUGCCAGCAGCCGCGGUAA
This 502-nucleotide ribosomal RNA is filed under the name uncultured bacterium. RNAcentral's name for it is "partial 16S ribosomal RNA". It matches the Rfam family "Bacterial small subunit ribosomal RNA", at positions 29 to 523 of the family's 1533-position model. The record is from RNAcentral.